This 253-nucleotide ribosomal RNA is filed under the name uncultured bacterium. RNAcentral describes it as "partial 16S ribosomal RNA". It matches the Rfam family "Bacterial small subunit ribosomal RNA", at positions 524 to 776 of the family's 1533-position model. The record is from RNAcentral.
GACAGAGGGUGCAAACGUUGUUCGGAAUUACUGGGCGUAAAGCGCGUGUAGGCGGCAAGGCAAGUCGGGUGUGAAAGCCCUGGGCUCAACCCAGGAAGUGCAUUCGAUACUGCCAAGCUAGAGUCCCGGAGAGGAUGGUGGAACUCUCGGUGUAGAGGUGAAAUUCGUAGAUAUUCGCAAGAACACCAGUGGCGAAGGCGGCUCACUGGUCCGGUUCUGACGCUGAGGCGCGAAAGCGUGGGGAGCAAACAGG